GGGGAUAAAGCUCAGCUGGUAAAGUGCUUGCCUAGCAUGCACAAGGCCUGGGUUCAAUCCCCAGUACCACCA
Molecule: transfer RNA, 72 nt
Filed under: Ictidomys tridecemlineatus (thirteen-lined ground squirrel)
Lineage: Eukaryota; Metazoa; Chordata; Mammalia; Rodentia; Sciuridae
Description: Spermophilus tridecemlineatus (thirteen-lined ground squirrel) tRNA
Rfam family: tRNA
About the family: Transfer RNA (tRNA) molecules are approximately 80 nucleotides in length. Their secondary structure includes four short double-helical elements and three loops (D, anti-codon, and T loops).
Source: Rfam by way of RNAcentral